GUGGGGCAGUGUAGAUGGAUCCCAGGGUGCCAUGCUGCCAGAAGAAACAAAAGAAACCUUGUAAUAUUGUGAGUGAGAGCCCACGGGCUGACUUGUGAGGGAGGAAAAAAAAAAGCGUUCAGCUCUGAGAUGUUUAUGAGAGGCCUUGGGAGGGAAAUCCAUCAUUGUGGAGAGAGCAAUUUAUGUCCAACACAAGAUAGUGACUGACAUCUCCCAUCCCACAAAGAGACUCUCUUGGCUUCAGUGCGUUGAAUUUGUCAGCCACGGCACAGGCCAUUGUUCAUUUGGGCAGACAACUGCAGUUGCUUAUUUUGCUCACAAACAGAUGAUUACAAGUUACUAAGUAAAAUGAUUUCAAUGAGGAUUGCGUGUGACACAGUCUGUUUAAAGCUACACAUUAUAACCCUCUGCAGUGGUGAGAGAUCUACCAAAAAGAUUGGAGUGAUCCGAACCAGCUGGCUGGCAGCCAAUUUAUCUCGGAGAAGAUGUGAAUGUGAGGGAGGUUCCUCUUGAAACGAUUCCAGCAGACAUCCUGAAAUGUGAUGAGGCCCACUGGGAGAAAACUAUGCUUUUUUUCCCCAAAGCUUGCCAGGGUCUGCCUGUCCAUCCAUCAAUGAGCAGUCCAGUAUCCUAAAAUGUACAAGGCUGUUGUUAGAAAUGUAAUGCUAGUUAAGAUAAAUGUUGAAUUAUGUUUCUUGUUUUUUAAAUUACAAUAUACUGGCAACUAAAGCAUGAUUAAGGCUUUUGUGGUUGGUGAUCAUCACAGGGACAUACCAGAAACUGGCAUACAGAUUAUGUAACCCAGAAAACACAACUGAACAAGGAUGAUGGAUCUCCAGCAUUCUGCUACUGUAUGCCAUAUCAAGUAAUGAAAGACAAGCACUGAGGGGAAAAUGGUACAACUCAAAAGUAUACUGUUUACUGUCGAAAACUUUUCCCCACUCACAAUAUUGUUCUGAUUGAUUUAGACUCAGUGAAUCAUUCCUGCACUGCUUACACUGCCAUUAUUGGCUGUGCAUUUUAAAGUAAUUUACAGGAACCAUUUGUCUCUGCAUUGAGGCUAUAGAGAGAGAGCUAAGCUUACUUGUGUGAGUAGGAGGAAGGUAACUAGCUGGAAAGAGCUGCUGCUGGACUCACAAAGGGAGGUUCAUCUUACUGGAGGCAGAAUGUAGCACUGCAGA
This is a long non-coding RNA of Lates calcarifer (barramundi perch), 1181 nucleotides long. RefSeq lists it as uncharacterized. NCBI's taxonomy places the organism in Eukaryota, Metazoa, Chordata, Actinopteri, Centropomidae. The transcript has 3 exons. The record is from RefSeq and is a predicted model, not a curated record.